AGAGUUUGAUCCUGGCUCAGGACGAACGCUGGCGGCGUGCCUAAUACAUGCAAGUAGAACGCUGAAGAGAGGAGCUUGCUCUUCUUGGAUGAGUUGCGAACGGGUGAGUAACGCGUAGGUAACCUGCCUUGUAGCGGGGGAUAACUAUUGGAAACGAUAGCUAAUACCGCAUAACAAUGGAUGACACAUGUCAUUUAUUUGAAAGGGGCAAUUGUUCCACUACAAGAUGGACCUGCGUUGUAUUAGCUAGUAGGUGAGGUAAUGGCUCACCUAGGCGACGAUACAUAGCCGACCUGAGAGGGUGAUCGGCCACACUGGGACUGAGACACGGCCCAGACUCCUACGGGAGGCAGCAGUAGGGAAUCUUCGGCAAUGGGGGCAACCCUGACCGAGCAACGCCGCGUGAGUGAAGAAGGUUUUCGGAUCGUAAAGCUCUGUUGUAAGUCAAGAACGGGUGUGAGAGUGGAAAGUUCACACUGUGACGGUAGCUUACCAGAAAGGGACGGCUAACUACGUGCCAGCAGCCGCGGU
Molecule: ribosomal RNA, 531 nt
Filed under: uncultured bacterium
Lineage: Bacteria
Description: bacterial SSU rRNA
Rfam family: Bacterial small subunit ribosomal RNA
Source: RNAcentral